GACGAACCGUGCGAACGUUAUUCGGAAUCACUGGGCUUAAAGCGCGUGUAGGCGGAUGGGAACGUCGGUCGUUGAAAGCCCCCCGGCUCAACCGGGGAAUGGGCGCCGAAACGACCCGUCUGGGAGGGACGGUAGGGGGGACCUGGAACCUCCGGUGGAGCGGUGAAAUGCGUUGAGAUCGGAAGGAACGCCCGUGGCGAAAGCGAGGUCCUGGACGUC
This 219-nucleotide ribosomal RNA is filed under the name uncultured bacterium. RNAcentral's name for it is "partial 16S ribosomal RNA". It matches the Rfam family "Bacterial small subunit ribosomal RNA", at positions 524 to 737 of the family's 1533-position model. The record is from RNAcentral.